CCAACGGCCCUCUUCAGGGCCACAACUGAAAAAUCCAAACUAUUUAU
Non-coding RNA from Caenorhabditis tropicalis, 47 nucleotides. NCBI's taxonomy places the organism in Eukaryota, Metazoa, Nematoda, Chromadorea, Rhabditida, Rhabditidae. The record is from Rfam.